UUAGAGAAGAAGAUAUGCAGUAAAAACGAAAUUGGAAAAGAAAACAUUAACAUAAAAAUGAGAAAAUGAAAAAUAAAGGGCAUAAGACAGGAGAGAUUAGAGAAAAAAUGGUGAGGUGUACCUCGGGAAGAAGAUGAGAAGAAGGUGCAAUAAUGCUAUGAAAGAUUUGAGAAAGCUAAAAUUGAAACCAUAAGUGCGAAGAAGAGAAAAUUG
This 213-nucleotide long non-coding RNA is filed under the name Lathyrus oleraceus (garden pea). RNAcentral's name for it is "Pisum sativum (pea) long non-coding RNA (PSAT_LNC008270)". The record is from RNAcentral. Lineage: Eukaryota; Viridiplantae; Streptophyta; Magnoliopsida; Fabales; Fabaceae.